Molecule: ribosomal RNA, 708 nt
Filed under: Halobacillus alkaliphilus
Lineage: Bacteria; Bacillati; Bacillota; Bacilli; Caryophanales; Bacillaceae
Description: bacterial SSU rRNA
Rfam family: Bacterial small subunit ribosomal RNA
Source: RNAcentral
GCGAGCGGAUCCCCUUCGGGGGUGAAGCUCGUGGAACGAGCGGCGGACGGGUGAGUAACACGUGGGCAACCUGCCUGUAAGACCGGAAUAACCCCGGGAAACCGGGGCUAAUGCCGGGUAACACCUACCUUCGCAUGAAGGAAGGUUAAAAGAUGGCUUCUCGCUAUCACUUACAGAUGGGCCCGCGGCGCAUUAGCUAGUUGGUGAGGUAACAGCUCACCAAGGCGACGAUGCGUAGCCGACCUGAGAGGGUGAUCGGCCACACUGGGACUGAGACACGGCCCAGACUCCUACGGGAGGCAGCAGUAGGGAAUCUUCCGCAAUGGACGAAAGUCUGACGGAGCAACGCCGCGUGAACGAUGAAGGUCUUCGGAUCGUAAAGUUCUGUUGUUAGGGAAGAACAAGUACCGUGCGAAUAGAGCGGUACCUUGACGGUACCUAACGAGGAAGCCCCGGCUAACUACGUGCCAGCAGCCGCGGUAAUACGUAGGGGGCAAGCGUUGUCCGGAAUUAUUGGGCGUAAAGCGCGCGCAGGCGGUUUCUUAAGUCUGAUGUGAAAGCCCACGGCUCAACCGUGGAGGGUCAUUGGAAACUGGGGAACUUGAGGACAGAAGAGGAGAGUGGAAUUCCACGUGUAGCGGUGAAAUGCGUAGAUAUGUGGAGGAACACCAGUGGCGAAGGCGACUCUCUGGUCUGUUUCUGACGCUG